GCGUUGGUGGUAAGCAAUUGACCCGGGUUCGAUUCCCGGCCAACGCA
This 47-nucleotide transfer RNA is filed under the name Strongylocentrotus purpuratus (purple sea urchin). The record is from Rfam by way of RNAcentral. Lineage: Eukaryota; Metazoa; Echinodermata; Echinoidea; Camarodonta; Strongylocentrotidae.